AAUAAAUGAAUUUUUGUUUUCUUUAGAAUUUUUGACUCUUCGUCUUAUUUGAAAUUUUUUUAUAAUUAAUUUUUUUAUUGUUACUACAUGAUAAAACAUAAAUAAUAUUUUACGUGUGACUAAUUUUUUUAAUUUUUUAAUAAAUUUUUCAAAUAAGAUGGAUAGCUAAACGCUCGAUCUAAAGAACC
RNAcentral lists this microRNA precursor (188 nucleotides) under Oryza brachyantha (malo sina). Its description in RNAcentral is "MIR812 microRNA precursor family". It matches the Rfam family "MIR812 microRNA precursor family". The record is from Rfam by way of RNAcentral. Lineage: Eukaryota; Viridiplantae; Streptophyta; Magnoliopsida; Poales; Poaceae.